RNAcentral lists this long non-coding RNA (1078 nucleotides) under Monodelphis domestica (gray short-tailed opossum). Its description in RNAcentral is "lncRNA (ENSMODG00000044695.1)". Lineage: Eukaryota; Metazoa; Chordata; Mammalia; Didelphimorphia; Didelphidae. The record is from RNAcentral.
CUACACUAAAGACUUCAGGGAAUUUUCUUUCUUGAUGAAAUAGCUGGGAAGACAUGGAAUUCUCUCUCUCUCUCCCUCCCUCUCUGUCUCUCUGUCUCUCUAUCUCUCUGUCUCUCUGUCUCUGUCUCUGUCUCUCUCUCUCUCUCUCUCUGUCUCUCUCUGUGUCUCUGUGUCUCUCUCUCCGCCUCUCUCUCUCUCUCUCUCUCUCUCUCUCUCUUUCUCUCUCUCUCUCUCUGUGUCUCUCUCCCCUCUGUGUCUCUCUUCCCCUCUGUGUCUCUCUGUCCCUGUUUGUCUCUCUCUCUCUCUCUCUCUCUCUCUCUCUCUCUCUCUCUCUCUCUCUCUCUCUCUCUCUCUCUCUGUGUGUGUGUGUGUGUGUGUGUGUCUUUCUCUCUGUCUCUCCCUCCCUCCCUCUCUAUCUCUCUCUGCCUCUCUCUCUCUGUAUCUCUCUCCCCUCUGUGUCUCUCUGUCUCUGUUUAUGUCUCUCUCUCUGCCUCUCUCUCUCUCUCUCUCUCUCUCUCUCUCUCUCUCUCUCUCUCUCUCUGCCUCUGUGUGUGUGUGUCUCCCUCCCUCUCUGUCUCUCUCUGUCUCUGUGUCUCUGUGUCUCUACCUCUCUCUCUCUCUGCCUCUCUCUCUGCCUCUCUCUCUGCCUCUCUCUCUCUCUCUCUCUCUCUCUCUCUCUCCCCACCUGUGUCUCUCUGUGUCUCUCUGUCCAUUUAUUUUCUCUCUCUCUUUCUCUGUCUCUCCUCUCUUUCCUCUCUGUUUCCUCUCUUUCUUUCCUCUCUCUGUCUCUGUCUGUCUGUUUCUCUCUCUGUCUCUCUCUGUCCUAUCUCUCUCUCCUCUUUCUCUAUCUCCUCUAUUUCUCUUCUCUCUCUGUCUUUCAGGUUCUGUCUGUCUGUCUGUCUGUCUCUGUCUUUGUCCCUAUCUCUCUCUUCUCCCCACUCUUUCUCUUCCCUCUGUCUCUUUCUCUCUCUUGAGUUGGAGUAUCUUAUGCCCCAAUGGGAAACCUUAUUCAUUGUGUGUUUUCUGGUAUAUUCUAACCUAUAUACUUUUUUUUCCUGAUUUCUGUUUCUAUUAGUUC